Long non-coding RNA from Octopus bimaculoides (California two-spot octopus), 943 nucleotides. The record is from RefSeq and is a predicted model, not a curated record. NCBI's taxonomy places the organism in Eukaryota, Metazoa, Mollusca, Cephalopoda, Octopoda, Octopodidae.
AUUCAUGUAAUCAAUAGUCUAGUACUUAAACUCACAAUCAUUAUCACUUAAUUAGUUAUCUAAGAAAAUAAAAGGUAACAUUUAAUUGUCAACUUCCAUUUCAAUGAUCAUUUCACAAUGUCUUUCAACCUUUUUAAGCCCAGCUGUUCACAUUAAUAUGCAUUGCAGAAUGUUUGCAAAUUGUGAUAUUUGAUUUAUGUGAAGUGUUUUUUACAGAUAUCUGUUGAAUGCACAAUUAAAAGCAACCAUAGAGUAGCAAAAUAUGUUGACCUUAGUAGCUGAAAUGUGAUAUAGAAAAAGCUCUCUUGGUUGGGUGAAGAAAUCAAGGAAGAAUUUUAACAGUUUGAAGAGAGAGAAAUGUAGAAGACCAUAGCAAAGAUUGCAUUCAAUUGAAAGGAACUAAGCUUCCACUGAAGUGGCAUUUGGAAGAAUCAUUAAUGAACAGGACAAAAUGUUUGGCAGAAUUUCUUACAGCUCUUUCCAUUCUGAGUUCAAAUGUCACUGAGGUCAACUUCGCUUUUCAUACAGAACCAAACUAAAUAAUAUGAAAAUAUCCAGCCUGGGGUUCUGCUACAGAGAUAAUUUACAAACUUACAAAAAUAUGCUUUCCUAAUUUAAUAAAACAAAAAUGUAGUUCUCUGUGAAUGCUGAAGUAUUUUAUUCCGCAAGAACAUUCCAAUGUGACAAAGAACAGAAACAGUACUGGGUCAGAUUGAAUGUCAGUAUUUAGUUACUUCCCUUCAGAUUCUGAAUGUGAAUAUCAUCACAGUCAAUUAUUCCAGUCAUCUUUCUGGGACGACACAACUAUCAAUCAUAUAUCAAGAUCAGUUUAAUUCAUGAUACUCAUUCUUCUGGUAAUUUAAGAAAUCAAAUAUGGCAGUAGAGAUAUGGAAAUAUAAGAAGAGAAGGAAACCAAAAUAUAAAGUCAUGCAAUACCUUCCAU